This 148-nucleotide small RNA is filed under the name Saccharolobus islandicus REY15A. Its description in RNAcentral is "Sulfolobus islandicus REY15A non-coding RNA". The record is from RNAcentral. Lineage: Archaea; Thermoproteati; Thermoproteota; Thermoprotei; Sulfolobales; Sulfolobaceae.
UCAAGUGAUGUGGCAGGGACGAACUGAAAUUAGUGUGGAAAAAUUAAAAGACUGACCUAUCGCAUAUUCCUAAUAGAAUGAAAAUACACGAAGAUAAUUAAUAGAUGAGAAAAAAUUACAUUACUAUUAAAGUCACGGUCCUUAUUAU